UUUCCGGUUGAUCCUGCCGGAGGCCACUGCUAUCGGAGUACGACUUAGCCAUGCGAGUCACAGGGGCGCAAGCCACUGGCAGACGGCUCAGUAACACGUAGGUAACCUACCCUUCGGACGGGCACAACCCCGGGAAACUGGGGCUAAUUCCCGAUAGGUACCCCCUUCUGGAAUGUGGGGAUAUCCAAAGCUCCGGCGCCGAAGGAUGGGCCUGCGGCCGAUUAGGUUGUUGGCGGGGUAACAGCCCACCAAGCCGACGAUCGGUACGGGCAGUGAGAGCUGUAGCCCGGAGAUGGGGACUGAGACAAGGCCCCAGGCCCUACGGGGCGCAGCAGGCGCGAAACCUUCACAAUGCACGAAAGUGUGAUGAGGGUACUCCGAGUGCGCAUACAUUGUAUGUGCUUUUCUGCAGCGUAAAUAGUUGCAGGAAUAAGGGCUGGGCAAGGCCGGUGCCAGCCGCCGCGGUAACACCGGCAGCCCUAGUGGUGGCCGCUUUUAUUGGGCCUAAAGCGUCCGUAGCCGGACAGGCGAGUCUUUGGGUAAAUCCUACGUCUUAAGCGUGGAAUUCUAAAGAUACUACCUGUCUUGAGGCCGGGAGAGGCUGGAGGUACUCCUGGGGUAGGGGUAAAAUCCUAUAAUCCUGGGGGGACCACCGAUGGCGAAGGCAUCCAGCUGGAACGGGCCUGACGGUGAGGGACGAAACCCAGGGGAGCGAGCCGGAUUAGAUACCCGGGUAGUCCUGGGCGUAAAUGAUGUGGGCUUGGUGUGAGCGCAUCGACGAGGUGCGCUUGUGCCGUAGGGAAGCCGUUAAGCCCACCGCCUGGGGAGUACGGUCGCAAGGCUGAAACUUAAAGGAAUUGGCGGGGGAGCAC
This 872-nucleotide ribosomal RNA is filed under the name uncultured archaeon. RNAcentral's name for it is "bacterial SSU rRNA". It matches the Rfam family "Archaeal small subunit ribosomal RNA", at positions 1 to 879 of the family's 1478-position model. The record is from RNAcentral.